UUCUGCUGUUUUUGUCUCCCGAGCUUAGAAACCUAUAAAUUGAGAGCUCAUUUUCAUUUAUGAUAGAGAGAACAAUUGCAUUCAAAGCCUACCUACCUGUUCUUGAUCAAAAAGCUCUCAUUUUCUUUCUUAGUGCAUUAAACCAUCACUUGCAUAUUCUUAGUGCACUCUUGCAAUUCAUCCUAGCUUUCUCUUGUAUUUGAGCCUUCCUUAAGCUAGGUUGAGAGUUUCAUCCUUGUGUAAACUGAGUGUGAAAGUCUUCAAGUGGUUCAAAUCUUGAAGAGAUUGUGUAAGAGCCCAUUGGAGCCGGAAUCCAAGUAUAAGACGAUUGAAAGCUUGAUUGAAGCUUCAAGUAAGUGGAACCCUCACUCGGUUAGGAGAUUGAGGAGAGUGGACGUAGGCAAAGGAGUGCCGAACCACUAUAAACCCGAGUUUGAAUUCUCUAACUCUAUCUCUUUCCUUUAUUUAUUUUGUACAUAUAUUAUUGUGUGAAAAAAGUUUUUGAAAAACCCAAUUCACCCCCCCUUUUGGGUAUUUUCCUUAAUUAUUCAUAGCCUUUGUUUUAUCAAU
RNAcentral lists this long non-coding RNA (570 nucleotides) under Vitis vinifera (wine grape). Its description in RNAcentral is "long non-coding RNA (VVIN_LNC007723)". The record is from RNAcentral. Lineage: Eukaryota; Viridiplantae; Streptophyta; Magnoliopsida; Vitales; Vitaceae.